AGAGUUUGAUCAUGGCUCAGGAUGAACGCUAGCUACAGGCUUAACACAUGCAAGUCGAGGGGAAACGACAUCGAAAGCUUGCUUUUGAUGGGCGUCGACCGGCGCACGGGUGAGUAACGCGUAUCCAACCUGCCCACCACUUGGGGAUAACCUUGCGAAAGUAAGACUAAUACCCAAUGACGUCUCUAGAAGACAUCUGAAAGGGAUUAAAAGAUUUAUCGGUGAUGGAUGGGGAUGCGUCUGAUUAGCUUGUUGGCGGGUAACGGCCACAAGGCUACGAUCAGUAGGGGUUCUGAGAGGAAGGUCCCCCAGAUUGGAACUGAGACCACGGUCCAAACUCCUACGGGAGCA
RNAcentral lists this ribosomal RNA (351 nucleotides) under uncultured bacterium. RNAcentral describes it as "bacterial SSU rRNA". It matches the Rfam family "Bacterial small subunit ribosomal RNA", at positions 8 to 349 of the family's 1533-position model. The record is from RNAcentral.